GUUAAUAGCAUAUUCAUUUGACGUUAGCUGCAGAAGAAGCACCGGCUAACUCCGUGCCAGCAGCCGCGGUAAUACGGAGGGUGCGAGCGUUAAUCGGAAUUACUGGGCGUAAAGCGCAUGCAGGUGGUUUGUUAAGUCAGAUGUGAAAGCCCGGGGCUCAACCUCGGAAUUGCAUUUGAAACUGGCAAACUAGAGUACUGUAGAGGGGGUAGGAAUUUCAGGUGUAGCGGUGAAAUGCGUAGAGAUCUGAAGGAAUACCGGUGGCGAAGGCGGCCCCCUGGACCAGAUAACUGACACUCAGAUGCGAAAGCGUGGGGAGCAAACAGGAUUAGAUACCCUGGUAG
Molecule: ribosomal RNA, 344 nt
Filed under: uncultured bacterium
Lineage: Bacteria
Description: bacterial SSU rRNA
Rfam family: Bacterial small subunit ribosomal RNA
Source: RNAcentral